RNAcentral lists this long non-coding RNA (589 nucleotides) under Phoenix dactylifera (date palm). RNAcentral's name for it is "long non-coding RNA (PDAC_LNC020640)". The record is from RNAcentral. Lineage: Eukaryota; Viridiplantae; Streptophyta; Magnoliopsida; Arecales; Arecaceae.
CAGAACGGCCCUAAAAGUGAGUCUAAUGGCUAGUUUUCUAUGGGAAUUGCUUAAAUAGCCAGAUUGAACAGUAAUAGACCAGAAGUAAGAGACUCCAUUCAAUGAAAAAGAGAUUUCCACCUACCAAAGCCUCUCUAGAGUAAAUACAAGAGAAAGAAGGAAGAAGUGCAUUGAAGUCCAUCCUCCAAACAUCUUCCUCGCAUUCAAGGCUCUCCUUCUGACAGCAAAUCUUCAGCACAUUCAAGAGGAGUUGCAGAGUUUGAGAAGCCCCUUUCUCCACAUCCAAAAAUCUGUUUGAGGGCUUCUAACUCUUCUUUGUUCAUAUUGUUUAUAUACGCUUUUCAAGAAGCUAUCCUUGUACUCUUUUCAAACUGCUUUUCUUACUUGAUUCAAUCAGGGGAUUGAAUCAAGGGUGUCAAGGUUGGUUGGUGAGCCGAGGAUAAAACCAACGUGUAAGGGUUCGAUUGUGAUCCCGAAAAUACAAUCGGGUGGUUCUAGUCGGUGAGCCUGUGAAAACCGACCGAGUUCAUUGUGAUCUCGUAAAACAACAAGUUGGGUUGUGAGCUUGUAAAACAACCGGCUGUAAUCC